This 585-nucleotide ribosomal RNA is filed under the name Nia vibrissa. Its description in RNAcentral is "eukaryotic LSU rRNA". It matches the Rfam family "Eukaryotic large subunit ribosomal RNA", at positions 62 to 648 of the family's 3401-position model. Lineage: Eukaryota; Fungi; Basidiomycota; Agaricomycetes; Agaricales; Niaceae. The record is from RNAcentral.
AAACUAACAAGGAUUCCCCUAGUAACUGCGAGUGAAGCGGGAAAAGCUCAAAUUUGGAAUCUGGCUGUUGUAUGACAGUCCGAGUUGUAAUUUAAAGAAGUGUUACCCGUUCUGGACUGUGCAUAAGUCUUCUGGAAAGAAGCAUCAUAGAGGGUGAUAAUCCCGUCUUUGGUACAGUUUCCCAGGGCAUUGUGGUACACUUUCAAUGAGUCGAGUUGUUUGGGAAUGCAGCUCAAAAUGGGUGGUAAAUUCCAUCUAAAGCUAAAUAUUGGCGUGAGACCGAUAGCGAACAAGUACCGUGAGGGAAAGAUGAAAAGAACUUUGGAAAGAGAGUUAAACAGUACGUGAAAUUGCCAAUAGGGAAACACUUGAAGUCAGUCGCGUUGCUCAAAGAUCAGCCUUGCCUUGGCUUGGUGUACUUUUUGAGUAAUGGGUCAACAUCAGUUUUAGUUGCUGGAGAAAGGCGAGAGGAAUGUGGCUCCCUCGGGAGUGUUAUAGCCUCUUGUUGUAUACAGUGAUCAGGACUGAGGAACUCAGCACGCUCUCUGUUGUGCUCAGGAUGUUGGCAUAAUGGCUUUAAGUGAC